Molecule: long non-coding RNA, 330 nt
Filed under: Elaeis guineensis (African oil palm)
Lineage: Eukaryota; Viridiplantae; Streptophyta; Magnoliopsida; Arecales; Arecaceae
Description: long non-coding RNA (EGUI_LNC027881)
Source: RNAcentral
GAAGCAUGCUCACUAGAGCCCCUGAUCUCUCUCCUCAAAAAGUCAAAACCACUCUCUAAGACUCCUCACAGUCUGGCUGCCUCCACAGAUAGGUCUGAGACCUCAGUGAUAUCCUCAUGUGGCUGUGGAUGAGCUAGAGCUAACACUUGCCUCUGCAAGUCAAAUACUCUGCCAGUCAGUCUCACUAUACAACCCUCAAGCUGCUUGAUGCGUACUGACUGAUCAAAAAUCAUCUGGAAAAUAGUGAAGAUGUGGGGGAUCAGUGUUUGAUCAGAUAUAUCGUGAGAUAUUGAUCCCUGAGCAAAAGCUGAAGUGCCCAUCUAACGAGAU